This 501-nucleotide ribosomal RNA is filed under the name Triticum aestivum (bread wheat). RNAcentral describes it as "partial small subunit ribosomal RNA". The record is from RNAcentral. Lineage: Eukaryota; Viridiplantae; Streptophyta; Magnoliopsida; Poales; Poaceae.
AUGAACGGUCGAGAAGCUCGGGCACGACUAGAUGGAGUGGAUGCUGAUGCUAGAUGUGAGGAGCAUCUUCGCCCACGUGCUGACCUAGGGCCACCACCACCACCUACUGCUCUGAGGUGUUACAGUCGCCGCCAUCGCUACUCGCUGCUUCGCGAUGCCGCUAUGGCCGCCACCACCAUGACGAAUGUCCGAGAAGUUAUUCGUCAUUUUAUUAUUGCUGCCAGAUUAUUUUCAAUUCAACAACAUCAUACUCAAAUUUCAUAUUCUAUGGAAAAUCAUUUAAUUUCAAGAAACACAAACUGGUCUAAUCGACAACAAUUGUUUUACCUCCACACAUCAAAUUUCAUAUUCGUCGGCCACCGCCUUCGUGGAAGCUCCUGCGACACAUCAAUAGCGGAAGGACUCAGUGUGGAGGAGCCGAAUCGAGCGGGUGCUGCAGGUCAGACGACUUUAAAUCAUCGCGCCUCCUUCCCUCCCGAUCCUCGAGCUGCCAUGGUGUAA